Molecule: long non-coding RNA, 3496 nt
Organism: Triticum aestivum (bread wheat)
Lineage: Eukaryota; Viridiplantae; Streptophyta; Magnoliopsida; Poales; Poaceae
Exons: 5
Source: RefSeq, a predicted model, not a curated record
AUGAAAAAGUGGAAGGAGGUGGGCCCUUGGCGUACGGGUGGGACGGCUGGGGCGCAGUCGUGGGCCAGUCCGUGGACCAGGACGUUAGUGUUUUUUCCGAUCCAUGGAUCAGAUCAGAGAAACAAGACGUCACGCGAAAAGCCGAGCCGUCUGUCCAUCACGUUUCGCACACACGUGCGUCGUUCGUUCUGGAAACCCUUGCCGCCCAACCACCCUCCACACCCACAGUAAUAGUUGAGGCGGCGGCCGCACCACGACCCUCCCCUUCGGCCGCCGCUGCACCACUCUGCACGACCGUCUAGGGUGUUCCUUGAGGUGACGCUAGCUCGUCUACCCCUGGGAUUUGGUGAGACCAUGGAAGAUGCGGGCAUGGAGUUCCUCCUCGAUUCCGUUGACAGGUUUCCCCUGCUUGAGGAAUUCGCAGACAGCCAUGAGCAGCCGGAUCCAGUUCCUCUGGCUUUGUUGGCGAAUGGAGUAGAACGAGCGGCAGUCCAGGCAGAUUCCAAUGCUGGCUCUGAUUGUGGUCAGCAGAUCGGCGGCGACAGAAAUGAUGAAGCGCGUUCUGGCGUUCGCCGACGACAGGAGAUGUCCCCCUUGAGGUCUGCGCAGUCUACCAACAGAGUAAAUCCCUAGGCCCCUGGAUGGACAAAAAGUGAAAACAAAGAAAUUCGUGGUAGCAAUUAUAAUUUGAGUUUUUAGUCUAAUUGAUCGAUAUCAAGUUAUCAACCCAUUUGCAUCAGAGAUAAAUUGGUAGGUAAAGCACAUUAGGUAGUGAUUGAUCACAACCGAGGGGUUGAAUAAACUGCUGGCCUGUCUAAACAGAAAACAGCUCUGCGUAUCAAAACUGAAUAUACGUCUUUUUAUUCUGAAAUGCGGAUUAAGACUUCGUAGUGCGCCACUAGACCGGACUCCAUGUCCAUCCCGAAUGAGUGCUAUGGAGCAGUUGAUUCGGAAAUACGUGGAGGAACCAACAAAAAGUGUAUUAAGACCUGAACUUUUAUUGAGUUUUGAUUCAUUGCGCGAAGUGGACGGACUUCUACAAUCUAUACUUGUUGGAAAAUGGCUUUGGUAUUAGAUAUGGCAAGAGCGGGCUGAAUGCAGAGAGAAUUAAAUGCAUGCAAGAAAUCGUCUUCGGAUGUUUGGGCAAGCCAGAGACAGAGAAUAGAAGAUCAUGUAGGUGCGAGUGUCCAGCUUUGAUUAGGUUGCUACGUGCUACGGAUAACAGUUGGUACAUUACAGAGCACCGUGAGAGCCACAACCACUCCAUGUCGCUGACUAUGGGCGAAAAAGUGCACUGGCCAUCCCACAAGCACAUCGAUGUGUACACUAAGGAUUUGAGAAAGCAGUUGAGGGAGAAUAAUGUGAAUCUUGGUAAAGUGUACCGGAUAAUUGGCAGUUUUUUCAGAUCAGUCGAGAAGGUGCCAUUUACAAAAAAAGGACUCCAAGGAACAUUUGCGGGAAGAUAAGACGUGUGAGCGGGCGGAGGAUGAUGUGAGGAAGACCUUGGAGGUGUUUGCAGACAUUGUUAACGGUGACCCUAGUUUUACAUAUAAAGUUCUUCAAGAAAAGAGUAGCAAAGUAAAGAACCUCAUGUGGACAAAUGGGAGCAGCAGAAUGCAGUAUAGAUUCUUUGCAAACGUCAUAACUUUCGACACCACUUACAGGACAAACGACAUGUCAUUUGGACUAUUUUUGGGGGUCAACAAUCUUUUUCAGUGUAUAAUACUUGCUGGUGUCUUGAUGAGGGACGAACAAGAAGAGAGUUUCGAAUGGGUGUGCUCAGAAUUCCUGCGGAUGAUGGGAGGCCCUGCUCCAAGGACUAUUCUGACAGGUAAGUCAUGCCUUGAUGAUGACUUUUGUUAUUACAGACCAGAGCAGAGCCAUGGAACUAGCCAUCAAGAAGGUUUCCCCAGAGACCGUGCUCAGGUGGUGCAAAUGGCAUGUCCUAAAGAAAGAGUGUUAGGGCCAUGUUAGGGCCAUGUUAGGGCCAUGUUCCACAAGGUUGUGAACCACAUGUUAACCAUAGAUGAGUUUGAGGCGGCUUGGGGUAUUCUCUUAGAUAAAUACAACUUGAGGAAACAUACUUACAUGACACAGUUAUAUGAGAUUAGAUACAAGUGGGCGAAGCCGUACUUCAAGGGAGUUUUCUGUGCCAAAAUGACGAGCACUCAACGCAGCGAAAGUGUGAACCGCAUGCUAAAGACCUACAUGCCAGCAUCGAGUCCAGUGCACGUGUUCAUGAGGCAAUACAUGAGGCUGCAGUUUGAUCGAGAAUGAGAGGAAAGCUAUGAGGAGAAGAGGACAAUGAUUGGUGGAGCAGUGAGAACUAAUUUGGCGAUAGAGCGGCAUGCAAGUAGGAUAUACACGAGAACAAUGUUUGAAGAGUUCGGGCUACUACUGAUUGAAGCCCACUGCCUAUAAUGUCACCAAAAUAGAGAAGAUGAGGAAAUAUCUAACGGUCCACAACAAUGCAGCCAAAAGAGAAAAAUGUAGCAGGGUUGAGUAUGAAGUGAACAUAAAUGAUGACCAAUCAGAGUUUACAUGAGAGUGUGGUCAGUUUGAGCGCACUGGGAUGUUGUGCAGCCAUGUUCUCAGGGCGAUGGAAAUGCUUCAUGUUGAAGAGAUCCCUGCUAAGCAUAUUCUGAAGCAAAGGACGCGAGGGACAUACUGCUGGAACAUCUAGCACAGUAUCAGAGGGACAACUCAGUUAACAUGUCCUUUCUAUGUAGGCACUCGAAGAUAUACUUGAAAGCCAUGGAGGUUGUGAGGAUGGGUGAUGCGAGCGCGGCAUGUAUGCAGGUCUGGACGCCCUGCUGCUGACUGGUGCACCUUUCGCUAAGAAGAGGGAGGGCUUGGGUUUCGAGGACCGAAUGGCUGGCUUAACUCCUGGUACAUUGCCUAGCAAGGGUGAGAUAGCAUAUUUGGGUGGAGAUGGUGCCAAAAAAUGCAUUAGCGCGGAUAAUUCUGUUAGUGUGAAUGAUCUUCAUGGUCUAACAGCACCAGAUAAGCAGAGUGGGGUUGGAAGACCAACAACUAGCCAAGAAAAGGCACCAUAAGAGGGACUUGGUAGGCGAACCAGGUUCUACAGUAUGUGCAGACGCGAAGGGCAUAAAUGAACUACAUGCCGUAAAAGGGGGAUGCCCCGAAGAAACCACGAAGACCCGGCAGAUGCAAGAAUUGCGGUAUGGAGGGGCAUAGGUGGGAUGCCCCGAAGAAACCACGAAGGCCCUGCAGAUGCAAGAAUUGCGGUAUGGAGGGGCACCGGCGUACCACAUGCACAAGGCCUCUGGGUGUUGCUGAGAAAUGAAGACUGAAAAUUAUGUAAUUUGUAUUUUAACUAGUUCAGCGGAUUUUCUGGUGUGUUUAUGAGACCGUGGCUCCACGCUUGUUCCUCAAUUUCCAGAGUAGUAGUGACGACUAUCCUGAUAUAAAAGAAAAUCUAGUUCUUGUGUAAUAUGAUGUUUCCUUAAAUUUUGAAUGGAACUGCUUUCUUCAA